AGAGUUUGAUCUUGGCUCAGGAUGAACGCUGGCGGCGUGCUUAACACAUGCAAGUCGAGCGAAGCACUUAGGAAAGAUUCUUCGGAUGAUUUCCUUUGUGACUGAGCGGCGGACGGGUGAGUAACGCGUGGGUAACCUGCCUCAUACAGGGGGAUAACAGUUAGAAAUGACUGCUAAUACCGCAUAAGACCACGGUACCGCAUGGUACAGUGGUAAAAACUCCGGUGGUAUGAGAUGGACCCGCGUCUGAUUAGGUAGUUGGUGGGGUAACGGCCUACCAAGCCGACGAUCAGUAGCCGACCUGAGAGGGUGACCGGCCACAUUGGGACUGAGACACGGCCCAGACUCCUACGGGAGGCAGCAGUGGGGAAUAUUGCACAAUGGAGGAAACUCUGAUGCAGCGACGCCGCGUGAAGGAUGAAGUAUUUCGGUAUGUAAACUUCUAUCAGCAGGGAAGAAAAUGACGGUACCUGACUAAGAAGCCCCGGCUAACUACGUGCCAGCAGCCGCGGUAAUACGUAGGGGGCAAGCGUUAUCCGGAUUUACUGGGUGUAAAGGGAGCGUAGACGGCACGGCAAGCCAGAUGUGAAAGCCCGGGGCUCAACCCCGGGACUGCAUUUGGAACUGCUGAGCUAGAGUGUCGGAGAGGCAAGUGGAACUCCUAGUGUAGCGGUGAAAUGCGUAGAUAUUAGGAGGAACACCAGUGGCGAAGGCGGCUUGCUGGACGAUGACUGACGUUGAGGCUCGAAAGCGUGGGGAGCAAACAAAAUUAGAUACCCUGGUAGUCCACGCCGUAAAC
RNAcentral lists this ribosomal RNA (799 nucleotides) under uncultured bacterium. RNAcentral's name for it is "bacterial SSU rRNA". It matches the Rfam family "Bacterial small subunit ribosomal RNA", at positions 8 to 807 of the family's 1533-position model. The record is from RNAcentral.